AUGGCCCAGCAACAGAUGACCACUUGCAGAAGGCCCUGAUGCUCGAACUGAAAUCCCUGCAGGAGAAGCCGGUGAAGGGCUUCCGGAUCACCCUGGUGGAUGAAUCUGACCUCUACAACUGGGAGGUGGCCAUCUUCGGACCCCCCAACACCCUCUGCGAAGGUGGUUACUUCAAGGCGCAUAUUAAAUUUCCUAUUGACUACCCCUAUUCACCACCUACCUUCAGAUUCUUGACCAAAAUGUGGCACCCCAACAUUUAUGAAAAUGGAGAUACAUGCAUUUCGAUUCUUCACCCGCCUAUAGAUGACCCACAGAGUGGAGAGCUGCCUUCUGAAAGGUGGAGCCCCACUCAGAAUGUGAGGAUUAUCCUGUUAAGUGUAAUCUCACUCCUUAAUGAACCCGACACCUUCUUCCCAAUGUGGAUGCUUCAGUUAUGUUCAGGAAAUGGAGAGGCAGUAAAGGAAAAGACAAAGAAUGUGUUGAAAUCAUUAGGAAACAGGUUUCAGCCACUAAGGCCGAAGCAGAAAAGGAUGGAGUGAAGGUCCCCACGACCCUGGAGGAAGACUGCAUCAAAACUAAAGUGCCUUCCAAUGACAACAGCUCAGAUUUGCUUUAUGAUGACUUGUAUGAUGACGACAUUGAUGAUGAACAUGAAGAGGAGGAAGAUGCUGACUGUUAGGAUGAUGAUGAUUCUGAGAACAAGGAGUCGUGA
RNA transcript from Carlito syrichta (Philippine tarsier), 712 nucleotides. It is a transcript of the gene named ubiquitin-conjugating enzyme E2 R2 pseudogene, with no coding region annotated. The record is from RefSeq and is a predicted model, not a curated record. The transcript has a single exon. NCBI's taxonomy places the organism in Eukaryota, Metazoa, Chordata, Mammalia, Primates, Tarsiidae.